This 465-nucleotide ribosomal RNA is filed under the name uncultured bacterium. RNAcentral's name for it is "partial 16S ribosomal RNA". It matches the Rfam family "Bacterial small subunit ribosomal RNA", at positions 28 to 507 of the family's 1533-position model. The record is from RNAcentral.
GACGAACGCUGGCGGCGUGCUUAACACAUGCAAGUCGAACGGAAAGGCCCUGCUUGCAGGGUACUCGAGUGGCGAACGGGUGAGUAACACGUGGGUGAUUUGCCCUGCACUUCGGGAUAAGCCUGGGAAACUGGGUCUAAUACCGGAUAGUAGCCAUUUUUAGUGUGAUGGUUGGAAAGUUUUUUCGGUGUAGGAUGAGCUCGCGGCCUAUCAGCUUGUUGGUGGGGUAAUGGCCUACCAAGGCGGCGACGGGUAGCCGGCCUGAGAGGGUGGACGGCCACAUUGGGACUGAGAUACGGCCCAGACUCCUACGGGAGGCAGCAGUGGGGAAUAUUGCACAAUGGGCGCAAGCCUGAUGCAGCGACGCCGCGUGGGGGAUGACGGCCUUCGGGUUGUAAACUCCUUUCGCUAGGGACGAAGCUUUUUGUGACGGUACCUAGAGAAGAAGCACCGGCUAACUACGUG